RNAcentral lists this ribosomal RNA (432 nucleotides) under uncultured bacterium. RNAcentral describes it as "partial 16S ribosomal RNA". It matches the Rfam family "Bacterial small subunit ribosomal RNA", at positions 29 to 506 of the family's 1533-position model. The record is from RNAcentral.
AACGAACGCUGGCGGCAUGCCUAACACAUGCAAGUCGAACGAGACCUUCGGGUCUAGUGGCGCACGGGUGCGUAACGCGUGGGAACCUGCCCUUAGGUUCGGAAUAACUCCCCGAAAGGGGUGCUAAUACCGGAUAAUGUCUUCGGACCAAAGAUUUAUCGCCUUUGGAUGGGCCCGCGUUGGAUUAGCUAGUUGGUAGGGUAAAAGCCUACCAAGGCGACGAUCCAGAGCUGGUCUGAGAGGAUGAUCAGCCACACUGGGACUGAGACACGGCCCAGACUCCUACGGGAGGCAGCAGUGGGGAAUAUUGGACAAUGGGCGAAAGCCUGAUACAGCAAUGCCGCGUGAGUGAUGAAGGCCUUAGGGUUGUAAAGCUCUUUUACCCGGGAUGAUAAUGACAGUACCGGGAGAAUAAGCUCCGGCUAACUCCGU